RNAcentral lists this ribosomal RNA (484 nucleotides) under uncultured bacterium. RNAcentral's name for it is "bacterial SSU rRNA". It matches the Rfam family "Bacterial small subunit ribosomal RNA", at positions 903 to 1397 of the family's 1533-position model. The record is from RNAcentral.
AAAUGAAUUGACGGGCACCCGCACAAGCGGUGGAGCAUGCUGUUUAAUUCGAAAAUACGCGAAGAACCUUACCUAGAUUUGACAUCCCCGGCAAUGCUAUAGAAAUAUAGCGGAGGUUACCCGGGAGACAGGUGGUGCAUGGUUGUCGUCAGCUCGUGUCGUGAGAUGUUUGGUUAAGUCCAAUAACGAGCGCAACCCUUAUCUUUAGUUGCCGGUUUACCGGAUCUCUAAAGAUACUGCCAGUGUAAGCUGGAGGAAGGUGGGGAUGAGGUCAAAUCAUCAUGCCCCUUACAUCUAGGGCUACAGGCGUGCUACAAUGGCCGAUACAACGAGUCGCUACACGGUAACGUGAUGCUAAUCUCUGAAAGUCGGUCCCAGUCCGGAUUGAGGUCUGCAACUCGACCUCAUGAAGUUGGAAUCGCUAGUAAUCCCGAAUCAGAAUGUCGGGGUGAAUACGUUCCCGGGUGUUGUACACACCGCCCGU